CAAUCUUCAAAUCAAGAAAUGUUUGCUAUUUCGCUGUCGUCAUGCAGACGUUAUAAUGCAAAUGUUAAAUUGGACCAAUCAGUGUCCGCUGUUCAUGACAGCCCGCCAUAUAUUUGAGAUCAGUGAGGAUGACCACCCACGGUUGGUCACCCACGCCCGCGAUAUUUGAUGAACUUUAGACUCCGCUAAUGCUUUCGUUUCCCCGGGUGUAAAUAGCCGGGGGGAAUUAGUACCCUCGCACGGCGCUUCGCGCCGUCGGCUCGGGGAUAAUCAGUGAUAACCGAACAAUAGCGUUCGUAUUUUGUCUAUAUUCAUUCCGAGGUUUAAGGCGAUUUCCGAUGAGUUCCAGGGGCGUCCUGGACUAGCUAACUGGAAUGAGAACCGGUGAUCUCGUAAUUAAAUCGGCAAACGUAACAGAAAGAACACAGAACACCACAAAAAAACGUUAAUAUAAAUCUUUAAUUGCAAAAUUUAUUUCACUUGCACAUUUUCCUGCACAUGAGAAUGCAUUUUAAAUGAUAACAAAAUUAUCUUUUAAAUAUGAAUACACAAUAUUUCCAAUAUUUCAAAGCAAGGAAAUAUAAUAUUAGGCUACACAGUACACAUCCUUCACGGAUAUAUUACCACUAAGCUGUUAGAAUUACAGAACUCGGCAGAUUAAUUGACAUGUAGUUUACAAAGCAAGCAAAGUCUGAAAUGCAAAACCAUUAAACAUUAAACCAAGACCUGUGGCCGUCUUUAGCAACAAAGCCAGUGUCCUUGUCCAACUUAAAGAGGUUCCCUACAGUUUCCAAUAUAGUAUAUAUAUAUAUAUAUGUAUAUAUAUAUAUA
Paramuricea clavata is the source of this 831-nucleotide non-coding RNA. Lineage: Eukaryota; Metazoa; Cnidaria; Anthozoa; Malacalcyonacea; Plexauridae. The record is from the annotation of a GenBank genome assembly.